CCCCGUCGCCCCCCGCGGACGUGGACGGCCCCUCCGAGACAACACCCGCCUCCGGCGAGGAGCCCCUGCCCCCAGGUGGAGUCCCCGCUGCUGCGCCCAG
Molecule: long non-coding RNA, 100 nt
Organism: Eptesicus fuscus (big brown bat)
Lineage: Eukaryota; Metazoa; Chordata; Mammalia; Chiroptera; Vespertilionidae
Exons: 3
Source: RefSeq, a predicted model, not a curated record